Molecule: ribosomal RNA, 305 nt
Filed under: uncultured bacterium
Lineage: Bacteria
Description: bacterial SSU rRNA
Rfam family: Bacterial small subunit ribosomal RNA
Source: RNAcentral
UUUCCUACGGGACGCAGCAGUGGGGAAUAUUGCACAAUGGGGGAAACCCUGAUGCAGCAACGCCGCGUGAGUGAAGAAGUAUUUCGGUAUGUAAAGCUCUAUCAGCAGGGAAGAAGAUGACGGUACCUGACCAAGAAGCCCCGGCUAACUACGUGCCAGCAGCCGCGGGAAUACGUAGGGGGCAAGCGUUAUCCGGAUUUACUGGGUGUAAAGGGAGCGCAGACGGCAGUGCAAGUCUGGAGUGAAAGCCCGGGGCCCAACCCCGGAACUGCUCUGGAAACUGUGCGGCUAGAGUACUGUACGGG